RNAcentral lists this ribosomal RNA (309 nucleotides) under Triticum aestivum (bread wheat). RNAcentral's name for it is "partial small subunit ribosomal RNA". The record is from RNAcentral. Lineage: Eukaryota; Viridiplantae; Streptophyta; Magnoliopsida; Poales; Poaceae.
CUAGCAAAUGCCACAUCUGAAAUCAUUUGGGUGCAGUCCAUGCUCAAGGAACUUGUUGUGAAAAGUAAGCAAGCUCCAUGCCUAUGGUGUGACAACCUUGGUGCUACCUAUCUGUCUGCAAACCCUGUGUUUCAUGCAAGAACAAAACAUAUUGAAAUAGAUUUUCACUUUGUCCGAGAAAGGGUUGCUCAAAGGCAACUUGACAUUCGGUUUGUGCACUCCGGAGAUCAGAUUGCAGAUGAAUUCACUAAACCAUUGCCAAGGAGUUUUGAAGCUUUCAAACAUAAUCUCAACUUGAUGAAGUUGUGA